AGAGUUUGAUUAUGGCUCAGGAUGAACGCUAGCGACAGGCUUAACACACGCAAGUCGAGGGGCAGCGGGGAGUAGCAAUACUCUGCCGGCGACCGGCGCACGGGUGAGUAACGCGUAUGUAACCUGCCUUAUACAGGGAGAUAGCCCAUGGAAACGUGGAUUAAUAUCCCAUAGUACUGAGAGACCGCAUGGUUUUUCAGUUAAAGCUUCGGUGGUAUAAGAUGGACAUGCGUCCUAUUAGGUAGUUGGUCGGGUAACGGCCUACCAAGCCAAUGAUAGGUAGGGGUUCUGAGAGGAAGGUCCCCCACACUGGUACUGAGACACGGACCAG
RNAcentral lists this ribosomal RNA (331 nucleotides) under uncultured bacterium. Its description in RNAcentral is "bacterial SSU rRNA". It matches the Rfam family "Bacterial small subunit ribosomal RNA", at positions 8 to 334 of the family's 1533-position model. The record is from RNAcentral.